This is a long non-coding RNA of Hirundo rustica (Barn swallow), 473 nucleotides long. RefSeq lists it as uncharacterized. Lineage: Eukaryota; Metazoa; Chordata; Aves; Passeriformes; Hirundinidae. The record is from RefSeq and is a predicted model, not a curated record. The transcript is spliced from 3 exons.
GUGGUGCAGAAAUCCCCAGACGAACGCUGAACGAUCUAGCUCCAGACCUUGAACCAAAACAGCCACGCUUGCAUGGAGCUGCUGACAGCGAGCCUCCAUGAGCUCGGGACCACCAUGCAGUGCUCUGCUGGUUGGAUGGUGCUGGGAUUCAAGGAUUCAAGUCAACCUGAGCCUAACCUGCAGCACAGAUCAAAAGAAACCGAUGAAGGCAAACGCCUAUGAGACGAAGAAGAACAAGGCAUGGCUGAGUCACUUUAAUGCCCACUACAUAUCCUUGGUACUCCGAAGUUAGAGGCAGACGAAAGCUGGUUGGACUUCAUUCCUCUCAUCAAAUGUCAGAAAUGUUGUUAAAUGGAAGGGAAAAAUCCUGUGGUUUAUAGGAAGGAAACCAGAAGUCACCUAAAAGAUGCAAAAAUACUCCAGUGCCACCUUGUGCUACAGCCACCAGCAGGAUGAGAAGAUGGAUGUGAACC